This 351-nucleotide long non-coding RNA is filed under the name Vombatus ursinus (common wombat). Its description in RNAcentral is "lncRNA (ENSVURG00010017955.1)". The record is from RNAcentral. Lineage: Eukaryota; Metazoa; Chordata; Mammalia; Diprotodontia; Vombatidae.
CCGCCAUCGUGGAAAGGGAUUGUCGGCUUCAAGGCACGUUUUUUGUGUAAGGCCUGUGUGGACCCAGGGCCCAAAGCCCAGGACCACUCGCCAUCUCUGCAGGACUCUGGAAUCAGACUGGAAUUGAAGCUACUGAGUCCCCUGUUGUUGAUUCUUCUUGUCUCUACCCACAGCACAGCCUGGGGAAAAUCAGGACUCAGCCUGAGGACUCUCUCUCUCCCAAAAGGGGAGCGUUAAAGAGGAAGGAAUGUCCUCUGUGUUCCUGACAGCUGGACCCCAGGUGAGUUAGAAUUUCAUUUCUCUUUCUAAAAUGCCACUUCAGGUCUUGAGGGAGUGAAAAAUUUCCUUCUU